RNAcentral lists this ribosomal RNA (253 nucleotides) under uncultured bacterium. Its description in RNAcentral is "partial 16S ribosomal RNA". It matches the Rfam family "Bacterial small subunit ribosomal RNA", at positions 524 to 776 of the family's 1533-position model. The record is from RNAcentral.
UACAGAGGGUGCGAGCGUUAAUCGGAAUUACUGGGCGUAAAGGGUGCGCAGGUGGUCAAAUAAGUCAGACGUGAAAUCCCCGGGCUCAACCUGGGAAUUGCGUUUGGUACUGUUUGGCUAGAGUGCAGUAGAGGAAUGUGGAAUUUCCGGUGUAGCGGUGAAAUGCGUAGAUAUCGGAAGGAACAUCAGUGGCGAAGGCGACAUUCUGGACUGUAACUGACACUGAGGCACGAAAGCGUGGGGAGCAAACAGG